This 316-nucleotide unclassified non-coding RNA is filed under the name uncultured fungus. RNAcentral describes it as "partial contains small subunit ribosomal RNA, internal transcribed spacer 1, and 5.8S ribosomal RNA". The stretch from base 1 to 73 matches the Rfam family "Eukaryotic small subunit ribosomal RNA", at positions 1759 to 1831 of the family's 1831-position model. The record is from RNAcentral. Lineage: Eukaryota; Fungi.
UCAAACUUGGUCAUUUAGAGGAAGUAAAAGUCGUAACAAGGUUUCCGUAGGUGAACCUUCGGAAGGAUCAUUAACGUGACGUUUGUAGGAGCCCGACGGGGGCGGCAUCGAGUUGCCUCUGCCCCCCCAUCGGGCUCACUGUAACGCCCAACCCUUGAUUUUGAGCACCUUCUUGUUUCCUCGGCGGGGACGCCCGCCAGCGAGGACCCCCCAUCAACCUCUUGCAGUUAGCAGUACUUGUCUGAAAUACAAACCAAAAACAAUCAAAACUUUCAACAAUGGAUCUCUUGGUUCUGGCAUCGAUGAAGAACGCAGC